UGGCUCAGUGGUAGAGUGCUUGCCUUUCAUGCAUGAGGCCCUGGGUUCGAUUCCUGA
This 57-nucleotide transfer RNA is filed under the name Dipodomys ordii (Ord's kangaroo rat). It matches the Rfam family "tRNA", at positions 8 to 63 of the family's 71-position model. Rfam says of the family: Transfer RNA (tRNA) molecules are approximately 80 nucleotides in length. The record is from Rfam by way of RNAcentral. Lineage: Eukaryota; Metazoa; Chordata; Mammalia; Rodentia; Heteromyidae.